GGGCCCGCACAAGCGGUGGAGUAUGUGGUUUAAUUCGAUGCAACGCGAAGAACCUUACCAGGGUUUGACAUCCUGCGAAUCUCUUGGAAACAGGAGAGUUGCCUUCGGGAACGCAGUGACAGGUGGUGCAUGGCUGUCGUCAGCUCGUGUCGUGAGAUGUUGGGUUAAGUCCCGCAACGAGCGCAACCCACGUCUUUAGUUGCCAGCGGGUAAUGCCGGGGGACUCUAGAGAGACUGCCGGUGAUAAACCGGAGGAAGGUGUGGAUGACGUCAAGUCAUCAUGCCCCUUACAUCCUGGGCUACACACGUACUACAAUGCUACGGACAAAGGGCAGCAAGUUCGCGAGGAC
This 350-nucleotide ribosomal RNA is filed under the name uncultured bacterium. RNAcentral describes it as "bacterial SSU rRNA". It matches the Rfam family "Bacterial small subunit ribosomal RNA", at positions 917 to 1264 of the family's 1533-position model. The record is from RNAcentral.